GUAGGGAAUCUUCCGCAAUGGGCGAAAGCCUGACGGAGCAAUGCCGCGUGAGGGAUGAAGGUCUUCGGAUCGUAAACCUCUGUUGAGGGGGAAGAACGUUGCGUACAAUAACACUGUACGUAGCUUGACGGUACUCCUCGAGGAAGCCUCGGCUAAUUACGUGCCAGCAGCCGCGGUAAUACGUAAGAGGCAAGCGUUGUCCGGAAUCACUGGGCGUAAAGCGCACGUAGGCGGCGUGGCAAGUCAGGGGUGUAAGCUCCAGGCUUAACCUGGAAAUUGCCCUUGAAACUACCACGCUUGAGCGUCAGAGGGGAGACUGGAAUUCACGGUGUAGCGGUGAAAUGCGUAGAUAUCGUGGAGAACACCCGUGGCGAAGGCGGGUCUCUGGCUGACUGCUGACGCUGAGGUGCGAAAGCUAGGGGAGCGAACGGGAUUAGAAACCCUAGUAGUCC
This 452-nucleotide ribosomal RNA is filed under the name uncultured bacterium. RNAcentral describes it as "bacterial SSU rRNA". It matches the Rfam family "Bacterial small subunit ribosomal RNA", at positions 354 to 796 of the family's 1533-position model. The record is from RNAcentral.